Molecule: ribosomal RNA, 520 nt
Filed under: uncultured bacterium
Lineage: Bacteria
Description: bacterial SSU rRNA
Rfam family: Bacterial small subunit ribosomal RNA
Source: RNAcentral
GGGAAUCUACCUUUUGCUACGGAAUAACUCAGGGAAACUUGUGCUAAUACCGUAUGUGCCCUUCGGGGGAAAGAUUUAUCGGCAAAGGAUGAGCCCGCGUUGGAUUAGCUAGUUGGUGGGGUAAAGGCCCACCAAGGCGACGAUCCAUAGCUGGUCUGAGAGGAUGAUCAGCCACACUGGGACUGAGACACGGCCCAGACUCCUACGGGAGGCAGCAGUGGGGAAUACUGGACAAUGGGCGCAAGCCUGAUCCAGCCAUGCCGCGUGAGUGAUGAAGGCCCUAGGGUUGUAAAGCUCUUUCACCGGUGAAGAUAAUGACGGUAACCGGAGAAGAAGCCCCGGCUAACUUCGUGCCAGCAGCCGCGGUAAUACGAAGGGGGCUAGCGUUGUUCGGAUUUACUGGGCGUAAAGCGCACGUAGGCGGACUUUUAAGUCAGGGGUGAAAUCCCAGAGCUCAACUCUGGAACUGCCUUUGAUACUGGAAGUCUUGAGUAUGGUAGAGGUGAGUGGAAUUCCGAGU